This 253-nucleotide ribosomal RNA is filed under the name uncultured bacterium. RNAcentral describes it as "partial 16S ribosomal RNA". It matches the Rfam family "Bacterial small subunit ribosomal RNA", at positions 524 to 776 of the family's 1533-position model. The record is from RNAcentral.
UACGUAGGUGGCAAGCGUUGUCCGGAAUUAUUGGGCGUAAAGCGCUCGCAGGUGGUUCGAUGCGUCGUGCGUGAAAGACCCCGGCUCAACUGGGGAGGGUCGUGCGAUACGGUCGAACUGGAGGCCAGUAGGGGGAUGCGGAAUUCCUGGUGUAGCGGUGAAAUGCGCAGAUAUCAGGAGGAACACCGAUGGCGAAGGCAGGUCUCUGGGCCGAUACUGACGCUGAGGAGCGAAAGCGUGGGGAGCGAACAGG